This 251-nucleotide small nuclear RNA is filed under the name Sorex araneus (European shrew). RNAcentral's name for it is "7SK RNA (ENSSARG00000020224.1)". It matches the Rfam family "7SK RNA", at positions 55 to 331 of the family's 331-position model. From Rfam's summary of the family: 7SK was discovered as an abundant small nuclear RNA in the mid-70s but a possible function has only recently been suggested. Lineage: Eukaryota; Metazoa; Chordata; Mammalia; Eulipotyphla; Soricidae. The record is from RNAcentral.
GGGUCUGCUGAGUGAAAAGGAAACACUAGGAGGAUGUCCCCUUCCUCCCUCACCACUCCAUGUGCAUCCCUCCCGAAGGUGUGUGCUCAGUUGAAGAGGGCAGUCUUCCCCAAAUAUACACAUUAUGUAGUUUGUAUAUAAUGCACCAUUUGCAAACAGUAUUGCGACUUUGAAUUCUAGAAAUGAUAAAAGUAAUUUUGAUGAUGGCAGGAAGUAUCUCCAAAUGGUUUACAGGAAACCCAGAGGUUAUU